GUUGCGGACAGUGUCUGGUGGGUAGUUUGACUGGGGCGGUCUCCUCCUAAAGAGUAACGGAGGAGCACGAAGGUUGGCUAAUCCUGGUCGGACAUCAGGAGGUUAGUGCAAUGGCAUAAGCCAGCUUGACUGCGAGCGUGACGGCGCGAGCAGGUGCGAAAGCAGGUCAUAGUGAUCCGGUGGUUCUGAAUGGAAGGGCCAUCGCUCAACGGAUAAAAGGUACUCCGGGGAUAACAGGCUGAUACCGCCCAAGAGUUCAUAUCGACGGCGGUGUUUGGCACCUCGAUGUCGGCUCAUCACAUCCUGGGGCUGAAGUAGGUCCCAAGGGUAUGGCUGUUCGCCAUUUAAAGUGGUACGCGAGCUGGGUUUAGAACGUCGUGAGACAGUUCGGUCCCUAUCUGCCGUGGGCGCUGGAGAACUGAGGGGGGCUGCUCCUAGUACGAGAGGACCGGAGUGGACGCAUCACUGGUGUUCGGGUUGUCAUGCCAAUGGCAUUGCCCGGUAGCUAAAUGCGGAAAAGAUAAGUGCUGAAAGCAUCUAAGCACGAAACUUGCCCCAAGAUGAGUUCUCCCUGACUCCUUGAGAGUCCUGAAGGAACGUUGAAGACGACGACGUUGAUAGGCCGGGUGUGUAAGCGUAGCGAUACGUUGAGCUAACCGGUACUAAUGAACCGUGAGGCUUAACCUUACAACGCCGAAG
This 699-nucleotide ribosomal RNA is filed under the name Salmonella enterica subsp. enterica serovar Poano. RNAcentral's name for it is "partial 23S ribosomal RNA". It matches the Rfam family "Bacterial large subunit ribosomal RNA", at positions 2244 to 2925 of the family's 2925-position model. The record is from RNAcentral. Lineage: Bacteria; Pseudomonadati; Pseudomonadota; Gammaproteobacteria; Enterobacterales; Enterobacteriaceae.